GCCAAUGGACUCAAUUUGAACAAAAAUGAAGAAAAACUAGGCCUGGAAUCUCAUUCUUUCCUUAUCACUUUAAGCAAACUCUAUUUGUGCAUCAGCCACUCUAGAGACGGAUCACCCAUGAACAACCAAAUACUGACUUUUCAAACUCCAGUCUCUGUCACUCUCCGCGAGUUAAUCGGGCCGACCAGACGUUACAAAGUCUGGACUCAACAAUACCAGUUAUCCUCCGUCAUCGUUGCUACUCCUAUCGCGGUUCACCAAUCCUUCCACCGCACGCGGUACCUCUUCCAUCCAGUAUCAAGGACCUUCAUAUCUUCGCCCUUUCAACGCCAACCCAUGUGUCGCUUUAUUGGCUCCCCUUGAGAUUAGUUUUCUGAUUACAGUUAACGCAUUUCCCUCAAUACAUAUAUCUUAAACUCCCAUUUCUUUUGCCAUAGUAACAGCCUGCAAACAUGCCUUCGCCUCGGCCAUAGUCAGAUCUGAAAUAUUCUCACAUGUGUAAGUACACACUGCCAUCACCAAUCCUUCCUUAUUCCGUGCAAUGAUUCCUGAAUAUGAUCUACGAGAAUUCUGAUUAAAUGAAGCAUCAAAGUUUAUUUUUAUAACAUUAUCACUAGGUGGUUGCCACACAUUACUGUUAAUCUCAUGUACAUUCUUCAAGAUCUCACCUAUAUGCUUUAUUUUUGUACAAUAUGCAUUGAUAAAGCCCACAAUUUCAUGCACUCGCUCCCAUUUCCCUUCAUGAUAAAUUCUAUUUCGGUUGUACCAAA
Molecule: long non-coding RNA, 770 nt
Organism: Gossypium raimondii (Peruvian cotton)
Lineage: Eukaryota; Viridiplantae; Streptophyta; Magnoliopsida; Malvales; Malvaceae
Exons: 2
Source: RefSeq, a predicted model, not a curated record